RNAcentral lists this ribosomal RNA (1905 nucleotides) under Triticum aestivum (bread wheat). RNAcentral's name for it is "partial small subunit ribosomal RNA". The record is from RNAcentral. Lineage: Eukaryota; Viridiplantae; Streptophyta; Magnoliopsida; Poales; Poaceae.
AUGAAGCUGGAGCCCGGCAUGUCGGCCCUCGUCACCGGCGGCGGCUCCGGCAUUGGGAAAGCGCUUUGCAUUGCUCUUGCGCACAAGGGUCUAUUUGUGACUGUCGUCGAUUUCUCUGAAGAACACGGAGGACAAGUUGCGUCAUUUGUUCAAAAGGGAAGCAGCCAGAUUCAUGGAGAUUCUAAAGUUCCAUCUGCUAUGUUCAUCAAGUGUGAUGUUACUGAUGCAGAUGCUCUUGCUGCUGCUUUUGGGAAACAUGUAAACUUGUAUGGUGGAUUAGAUGUCUGCAUCAACUGUGCUGGAUUUGUCAACAAAUCCUUAGUUUAUGAUGAUACAUCCAAUGGAACCAAGACAUGGAGGCGUGCUGUAAAUGUGAACCUUGUUGCUGUUAUUGAUGGUACUCGCAUUGCAACUCAAAUGAUGCGUGCACAGAAGAAGCCUGGUGCCAUAAUAAAUAUUGGUUCAGUUGCUGGCUUAUACCCUAUGCACUAUGAACCCAUAUAUAGUGGGACAAAAGGUGGUGUGAUUAUGUUUACAAGAUCACUUGCUCCAUUAAAACGGCACGGCAUUCGUGUCAAUGUGAUCUGCCCUGAGUUUGUCCAAACAAAUAUGGGAGAACAAGUAAACCGCGUAUUAGUAGAUGCGCUUGGUGGGUUUUUGAAGAUGGAGGAUGUUAUUAAUGGUGCAUUUGAGCUUAUAGAAGAUGAGAGCAAGGCUGGUGCCUGCCUUUGGAUAUCUAAAAGGAGAGGCAUGGUGUACUGGCCAACAUCAGAGGAAGAAAAGAAGUAUUUGGUGUAUGCCACAAAGUCAAAAAUGACAGUAACAAAGAAUAGAUUCCCCAGCAUCCAGACACCUGAAUUCUUCGAGAAGAUAACGGUUCACACGCUCAGCCAUAAUUUCCGCAAUGCUACAAGAAUUGAUCGUGUGCGGCUGAGAUUGCCCAUGGAACCACAUAGUGCUCUUGUUAAAAUAAUAUACGCUGGUGUAAAUGCUAGUGACGUGAACUUCACUUCUGGCCGUUAUUUCAGUGGUAAUGCUAAAGAAGCUUCUGCACACCUUCCAUUUGAUGCUGGUUUCGAGGCUGUGGGAAUUGUUGCUUCUGUUGGAGAUUCGGUGAGACAUAUCAAAGUUGGCACUGCUGUGGCCCUUAUGACCUUUGGGGGCUAUGCCGAAUUUACAGUGGUUCCAGCCAAACAUCUUCUUCUGGUGCCAAGACCAGACCCCGAAGUAGUUGCUAUGCUAACAUCAGGAUUGACUGCUUCAAUUUCUCUUGAAAAGUCAGGUCAAAUGACAUCCGGACAAGUUAUUUUAGUUACAGCUGCUGCUGGUGGGACAGGACAGUUUGCUGUUCAGCUCGCUAAACUAGCUGGCAACAAGGUUAUUGCCACAUGUGGUGGCGGGAAUAAAGCUGCACUUCUGGCUUCAUUAGGGGUUGAUCGAGUCAUCAACUACCAACAUGAAAAGAUAAAAGAUGUUCUGAAAAAGGAGUUUCCAAGAGGUGCAGAUAUAGUUUAUGAAUCUGUAGGCGCUGAAAUGUUUGACUUGUGUUUGAAUGCACUUGCUGUCCGUGGACGCCUCAUUGUAAUUGGUAUGAUCUCUCAGUAUCAAGGAAAGGAUGGAUGGAUGCCACGGAAUUACUAUGGAUUGUGUGAGAAGAUUCUUGGAAAGAGCCAAACUGUGGCUGGAUUUUUCCUGAUUCAAUAUGCCGAUCUGUGGCAAAAACACCUUGACAAGCUUUUCGAUCUGCAUGCGUCUGGGAAGUUAAAGGUUUCCCUUGACCCCAAGAAGUUCGUAGGUGUUGCUUCUGUGGCAGACGCAGUAGAACAUCUCCAUUCUGGCAGGAGCGUUGGCAAGGUGGUUGUCUGCAUGGAUCCAGCAUACAGUCAGACCCUGGCUAAGCUAUAG